Molecule: long non-coding RNA, 423 nt
Filed under: Homo sapiens (human)
Lineage: Eukaryota; Metazoa; Chordata; Mammalia; Primates; Hominidae
Description: LNC_000836
Source: RNAcentral
GCUCUGAUGCAGGCUUUUUGCUGCUGGGCCUUCCACUCCUCCAACUUUGGCAGCAGUAGCUCGAUUAGGGUAGUUAAUCGGCCUAGCAGUGCUUUGGAGGCAUCCAGCACCUCCUUUCUCCUUUUGUCCAGUUCAUUGAGAGUUUCCUGCAGAAUCUUCUGCUCUUUGGUCUGAUGGGGGUCCAGAGAGGGUGUCUUCCCUUUGGCCUGGAUCUUAUAUCGGAAGCAGAAGACAUCCUGCUGGUCUUUCAGUUGGCUGAUGGAUUUUACCAGCUUCUCCAUCAUAGCCCUUAAAUCCAGGAUCCGGGAUUCAAUCUCAUGUUGCUGGCUCUCCACAGGUGUUUCGAGAACUGGCUCUCCUUGUUCCAAUUGGGCCCUCUGAGCCUGGAUCAAAAUUCUUUUUUCUUCCAGAAGGAGGUUAAAG